AACUUUAAUGCUAUUUGAUAGUUCGAUAUCCACUUAGUGGAUGUUUUGGGUGACUUUCCGACAUCCCUGACCUUAUUCCAUUAAUUUUCCAGAUUCUGGGGUUUUCGGUGUUCGGACCUAGGGUUUUACUGCUAUUCUAUGGCUCGAUCCUCACUCGGUGGAUGUUUUGGGUGAUUUUCCGACGUCCCUGACCCUAUUCCGAUAAGUUUCCAGACUCUACGGUUUUCGGUGGUCGGACCUAGGGUUUUAUCUGGCGAUUGAAGGCCGUUCUUCUCCGAUCGCAAAGAAGGAGGGUAAUUCUAUCCUUGUUCUAAGUGUUGUAUAUUUUGCAUGUGGGUUCUGAUUCAACUUUAGCAUGUUUACCGAGACUGUUUUUGAUUUCAAACUGGUUAUUGUUCAUGACUUCUAAUAUGAAUGUUAAUACCUCCUCAGUGGACUCUACCAGCCCCCUUUUAUUUACCGAGACUGUUUUUGAUUUCAAAACUGGUUAUUGUUCAUGUAUUCUAAUAUGAAUGUUAAUACCUCCUCAGUGGACUCAACUAGCCCCCUUUUUGUUUACUCCUCUGAUGUUCCUGGAGUUUCUCUUGUGUUCACUCCCUUCUCGGGCAGUGGUUAUGGGGGUUGGAGGAGGAAAAUGAUUGUCCCGCUGUCUGCUAAAAAUAAAAUUGGC
This 670-nucleotide long non-coding RNA is filed under the name Nicotiana benthamiana. RNAcentral describes it as "long non-coding RNA (NBEN_LNC009724)". The record is from RNAcentral. Lineage: Eukaryota; Viridiplantae; Streptophyta; Magnoliopsida; Solanales; Solanaceae.